RNAcentral lists this small RNA (605 nucleotides) under Pan troglodytes (chimpanzee). RNAcentral's name for it is "processed transcript". The record is from RNAcentral. Lineage: Eukaryota; Metazoa; Chordata; Mammalia; Primates; Hominidae.
GCGCAUGCGCAGGUCCAUUUGGGAAUUACUGCCCAGCAGCCGACUAAGUUGCAUUCCUUGAAUCUUCGCAGAAAAGACAAUUCUUUUAAUCAGAGUUAGUAAUGUGGACAGUACAAAAUCGAGAGAGUCUGGGGCUUCUCUCUUUCCCUGUGAUGAUUACCAUGGUCUGUUGUGCACACAGCACCAAUGAACCCAGCAACAUGUCAUACGUGAAAGAGACAGUGGACAGAUUGCUCAAAGGAUAUGACAUUCGCUUGCGGCCGGACUUCGGAGGGCCCCCCGUCGACGUUGGGAUGCGGAUCGAUGUCGCCAGCAUAGACAUGGUCUCCGAAGUGAAUAUGCAUGUCCUAAAGAAAAAAUUGGGGAAAUAAAAAUCCCAAGCCAACUAUUGAGAGGCCAAUGAGAAGAGAAAAAGAAGAUUCACGACAGAGGUUAAUAUUGGCCAACUGAAAACUUCUGUCUUCAUGUGGGGAGAACUGAUCUUUAGAAGUGUUGAAGUUGGGAAUGAGAGGAAGACGGGAUAAAAAAUUUGGAGAGUAGGAUAUAUUCACAAAACUGGAAAAAUGGAUUCAGUCCUUGGUGGGUUAUUUGUGUCUGCCUCUUAU